ACACUGCUGAAGAGUCCCACAAUAGAGCGAAACGACCGUCCAAUGC
This is a non-coding RNA of Schistosoma curassoni, 46 nucleotides long. NCBI's taxonomy places the organism in Eukaryota, Metazoa, Platyhelminthes, Trematoda, Strigeidida, Schistosomatidae. The record is from Rfam.